Molecule: ribosomal RNA, 335 nt
Filed under: uncultured bacterium
Lineage: Bacteria
Description: bacterial SSU rRNA
Rfam family: Bacterial small subunit ribosomal RNA
Source: RNAcentral
AACAGUUAGAAAUGACUGCUAAUACCGCAUAUGCCUUAGCAACACAUGUUGCAAAAGGGAAAGGAGCAAUCCGCUGAUAGAUGGGCUUGCGUCUGAUUAGAUAGUUGGUGGGGUAACGGCCUACCAAGUCGACGAUCAGUAGCCGGACUGAGAGGUUGAACGGCCACAUUGGGACUGAGAUACGGCCCAGACUCCUACGGGAGGCAGCAGUCGGGAAUAUUGCGCAAUGGAGGAAACUCUGACGCAGUGACGCCGCGUGCAGGAAGAAGGUUUUCGGAUUGUAAACUGCUUUAGACAGGGAAGAAAAAAGACAGUACCUGUAGAAUAAGCUCCGG